CAGCCGCCCGGGAAUACAGAGGGUGCGAGCGUUAAUCGGAUUUACUGGGCGUAAAGCGUGCGUAGGCGGCUUCUUAAGUCGGAUGUGAAAUCCCUGAGCUUAACUUAGGAAUUGCAUUCGAUACUGGGAAGCUAGAGUAUGGGAGAGGAUGGUAGAAUUCCAGGUGUAGCGGUGAAAUGCGUAGAGAUCUGGAGGAAUACCGAUGGCGAAGGCAGCCAUCUGGCCUAAUACUGACGCUGAGGUACGAAAGCAUGGGGAGCAAACAGGAUUAGAUACCCCGGUAGUCCCUGUCUCUUAUACC
This 301-nucleotide ribosomal RNA is filed under the name uncultured bacterium. RNAcentral's name for it is "partial 16S ribosomal RNA". It matches the Rfam family "Bacterial small subunit ribosomal RNA", at positions 512 to 808 of the family's 1533-position model. The record is from RNAcentral.